RNAcentral lists this long non-coding RNA (893 nucleotides) under Nicotiana tabacum (common tobacco). Its description in RNAcentral is "long non-coding RNA (NTAB_LNC018278)". Lineage: Eukaryota; Viridiplantae; Streptophyta; Magnoliopsida; Solanales; Solanaceae. The record is from RNAcentral.
ACUCUGCGACCAUUCUGCGGUCCGCAGAGUGGUUCUGCGGCCGCAGAACGGGCCACAGUAAUGCCUACUUUUGCCCAACAUUUUCCUUCAACUAUCCAGGCACUGUUCAAUCCAAAAAGUCCGAAGCUCCCUUCGCAAAAGUCUAAGGAUGACUAUGCGACCAAAGUGCGGCCAGCGAAACGGUUAUGCGGUCGCAUAAUUGGACGUGAAAUCGACAUCAAAAAUGCCCCAGAAAACUGCCUUACUCUGCGACUAUUCCGCGGUCUGCAUAGUGGUUCUGCGGCCGCAGAACGGGCCGUAGAAAUGCCUACUUCUGCUCAAUAUUUUCCUUCAACUGCCCAGGCAUUGUUCAAUCUAAAAAAUCCGAACCUCCCUUCAACAAAGUGUAAGAAUGACUAUACGACCAAAGCGUGGCCCUCUAAAUGGUUAUGCAGUCGCAUAAUAUGCCGCGAAAUCGACAUAAAAAAUACCCAGAAAACAGCCUCACUCUACGACCAUUAUGCGGUCCGCAUAGUGGUUAUGCGGCCGCAGAACGGGCCUCAGAAAUGCCUACUUCUGCCAAAAUUUUUCCUUCAACUCCACAGGCACUAUUCAAUCACAAAAGUCUGAACCUCCCUUUGCAAAAUCAAAAGAUACCAAUGUGACCAAAGUGCAGCCCGCGAAACGGUUAUGCAGUCGCAUAAUUGGCCGCGAUAUCAACAUCAAAAAUGCCCCAAAAAACUGCCUCACUCUGCGACCAUUAUGCAAUGCGCAUAGAAGUUCUGCGGCCGCAGAAUGGGCCAUAGAAAUGCCUACUUCUUCCCAACAUUUUCCUUCAACUCCCUAGCCACUGUUCAAUCCGAAGAGUAAUUACCUCCCUUCGCAAAAGUGUAAGGAUGACGAUGCGACCAAAG